CACAUGCAGUCGAGCGGAACGAUGGUAGCUUGCUACCAGGCGUCGAGCGGCGGACGGCGUGAGUAAUACUUAGGAAUCUACCUAGUAGUGGGGGAUAGCACGGGGAAACUCGUAUUAAUACCGCAUACGUCCUACGGGAGAAAGGGGGCAACUUGUUGCUCUCGCUAUUAGAUGAGCCUAAGUCGGAUUAGCUAGAUGGUGGGGUAAAGGCCUACCAUGGCGACGAUCUGUAGCUGGUCUGAGAGGAUGAUCAGCCACACCGGGACUGAGACACGGCCCGGACUCCUACGGGAGGCAGCAGUGGGGAAUAUUGGACAAUGGGGGAAACCCUGAUCCAGCCAUGCCGCGUGUGUGAAGAAGGCCUUUUGGUUGUANAAGCACUUUAAGCAGUGAAGAAGACUCUUCGGUUAAUACCCGGAGACGAUGACACUUAAGCUGCAGAAUAAGCACCGGCUAACUCUGUGCCAGCAGCCGCGGUAAUACAGAGGGUGCAAGCGUU
RNAcentral lists this ribosomal RNA (499 nucleotides) under bacterium het-d-16. RNAcentral describes it as "bacterial SSU rRNA". It matches the Rfam family "Bacterial small subunit ribosomal RNA", at positions 52 to 542 of the family's 1533-position model. The record is from RNAcentral.